RNAcentral lists this ribosomal RNA (1360 nucleotides) under Arthrobacter sp. BN05-M-2-2. RNAcentral describes it as "bacterial SSU rRNA". It matches the Rfam family "Bacterial small subunit ribosomal RNA", at positions 70 to 1442 of the family's 1533-position model. The record is from RNAcentral. Lineage: Bacteria; Bacillati; Actinomycetota; Actinomycetes; Micrococcales; Micrococcaceae.
GAAGCCCAGCUUGCUGGGUGGAUUAGUGGCGAACGGGUGAGUAACACGUGAGUAACCUGCCCCCGACUCUGGGAUAAGCCCGGGAAACUGGGUCUAAUACCGGAUAUUACCUUUGACCGCAUGGUUGUUGGUGGAAAGAUUUAUCGGUGGGGGAUGGACUCGCGGCCUAUCAGCUUGUUGGUGAGGUAAUGGCUCACCAAGGCGACGACGGGUAGCCGGCCUGAGAGGGUGACCGGCCACACUGGGACUGAGACACGGCCCAGACUCCUACGGGAGGCAGCAGUGGGGAAUAUUGCACAAUGGGCGAAAGCCUGAUGCAGCGACGCCGCGUGAGGGAUGACGGCCUUCGGGUUGUAAACCUCUUUCAGUAGGGAAGAAGCGAAAGUGACGGUACCUGCAGAAGAAGCGCCGGCUAACUACGUGCCAGCAGCCGCGGUAAUACGUAGGGCGCAAGCGUUAUCCGGAUUUAUUGGGCGUAAAGAGCUCGUAGGCGGUUUGUCGCGUCUGCCGUGAAAGUCCGAGGCUCAACCUCGGAUCUGCGGUGGGUACGGGCAGACUAGAGUGAUGUAGGGGAGACUGGAAUUCCUGGUGUAGCGGUGAAAUGCGCAGAUAUCAGGAGGAACACCGAUGGCGAAGGCAGGUCUCUGGGCAUUUACUGACGCUGAGGAGCGAAAGCAUGGGGAGCGAACAGGAUUAGAUACCCUGGUAGUCCAUGCCGUAAACGUUGGGCACUAGGUGUGGGGGACAUUCCACGUUUUCCGCGCCGUAGCUAACGCAUUAAGUGCCCCGCCUGGGGAGUACGGCCGCAAGGCUAAAACUCAAAGGAAUUGACGGGGGCCCGCACAAGCGGCGGAGCAUGCGGAUUAAUUCGAUGCAACGCGAAGAACCUUACCAAGGCUUGACAUGUGCCAGACCGCCUCAGAGAUGGGGUUUCCCUUCGGGGCUGGUUCACAGGUGGUGCAUGGUUGUCGUCAGCUCGUGUCGUGAGAUGUUGGGUUAAGUCCCGCAACGAGCGCAACCCUCGUUCCAUGUUGCCAGCACGUAAAGGUGGGGACUCAUGGGAGACUGCCGGGGUCAACUCGGAGGAAGGUGGGGAUGACGUCAAAUCAUCAUGCCCCUUAUGUCUUGGGCUUCACGCAUGCUACAAUGGCCGGUACAAUGGGUUGCGAUACUGUGAGGUGGAGCUAAUCCCUAAAAGCCGGUCUCAGUUCGGAUUGGGGUCUGCAACUCGACCCCAUGAAGUCGGAGUCGCUAGUAAUCGCAGAUCAGCAACGCUGCGGUGAAUACGUUCCCGGGCCUUGUACACACCGCCCGUCAAGUCACGAAAGUUGGUAACACCCGAAGCCGAUGGCCUAACCAC